GUAGGUGGCAAGCGUUGUCCGGAAUUAUUGGGCGUAAAGCGCGCGCAGGCGGUCCUUUAAGUCUGAUGUGAAAUCCCACGGCUCAACCGUGGAAGGUCAUUGGAAACUGGGGGACUUGAGUACAGAAGAGGAAAGCGGAAUUCCAAGUGUAGCGGUGAAAUGCGUAGAGAUUUGGAGGAACACCAGUGGCGAAGGCGGCUUUCUGGUCUGUAACUGACGCUGAGGCGCGAAAGCGUGGGGAGCAAACAGGAUUAGAUACCCUGGUAGUCCACGCCGUAAACGAUGAGUGCUAAGUGUUAGGGGGUUUCCCGCCCCCCUUAGUGCUGCAGCUAACGCAUUAAGCACUCCGCCUGGGGAGUACGGUCGCAAGACUG
This 374-nucleotide ribosomal RNA is filed under the name uncultured organism. Its description in RNAcentral is "partial 16S ribosomal RNA". It matches the Rfam family "Bacterial small subunit ribosomal RNA", at positions 527 to 896 of the family's 1533-position model. The record is from RNAcentral.